This 253-nucleotide ribosomal RNA is filed under the name uncultured bacterium. Its description in RNAcentral is "partial 16S ribosomal RNA". It matches the Rfam family "Bacterial small subunit ribosomal RNA", at positions 524 to 776 of the family's 1533-position model. The record is from RNAcentral.
UACGUAGGGUGCAAGCGUUAAUCGGAAUUACUGGGCGUAAAGCGUGCGUAGGCGGCGAUUCAAGUCAGGCGUGAAAGGCCUGGGCUCAACCCGGGAACUGCGUUUGAUACUGGAUUGCUGGAGUCCGGGAGAGGAUGGCGGAAUUCCCAGUGUAGAGGUGAAAUUCGUAGAUAUUGGGAAGAACACCGGUGGCGAAGGCGGCCAUCUGGACCGGAACUGACGCUGAGGCGCGAAAGCGUGGGGAGCAAACAGG